UUAAGUUAUUAAGGGCGCACGGUGGAUGCCUUGGCACUAGAAGCCGAUGAAGGACGUUACUAACGACGAUAUGCUUUGGGGAGCUGUAAGUAAGCUUUGAUCCAGAGAUUUCCGAAUGGGGAAACCCAGCAUGAGUUAUGUCAUGUUAUCGAUAUGUGAAUACAUAGCAUAUAAGAAGGCACACCCGGAGAACUGAAACAUCUUAGUACCCGGAGGAAGAGAAAGAAAAUUCGAUUCCCUUAGUAGCGGCGAGCGAAACGGGAAGAGCCCAAACCAACAAGCUUGCUUGUUGGGGUUGUAGGACACUCUAUACGGAGUUACAAAGGACGACAUUAGACGAAUCAUCUGGAAAGAUGAAUCAAAGAAGGUAAUAAUCCUGUAGUCGAAAAUGUUGUCUCUCUUGAGUGGAUACUGAGUACGACGGAGCACGUGAAAUUCCGUCGGAAUCUGGGAGGACCAUCUCCUAAGGCUAAAUACUCUCUAGUGACCGAUAGUGAACCAGUACCGUGAGGGAAAGGUGAAAAGCACCCCGGAAGGGGAGUGAAAUAGAACCUGAAACCGUGUGCUUACAAGUAGUCAGAGCCCGUUAAUGGGUGAUGGCGUGCCUUUUGUAGAAUGAACCGGCGAGUUACGAUUUGAUGCAAGGUUAAGCAGUAAAUGUGGAGCCGUAGCGAAAGCGAGUCUGAAUAGGGCGUUUAGUAUUUGGUCGUAGACCCGAAACCAGGUGAUCUACCCUUGGUCAGGUUGAAGUUCAGGUAACACUGAAUGGAGGACCGAACCGACUUACGUUGAAAAGUGAGCGGAUGAACUGAGGGUAGCGGAGAAAUUCCAAUCGAACCUGGAGAUAGCUGGUUCUCUCCGAAAUAGCUUUAGGGCUAGCCUCAAGUGAUGAUUAUUGGAGGUAGAGCACUGUUUGGACGAGGGGCCCCUCUCGGGUUACCGAAUUCAGACAAACUCCGAAUGCCAAUUAAUUUAACUUGGGAGUCAGAACAUGGGUGAUAAGGUCCGUGUUCGAAAGGGAAACAGCCCAGACCACCAGCUAAGGUCCCAAAAUAUAUGUUAAGUGGAAAAGGAUGUGGCGUUGCCCAGACAACUAGGAUGUUGGCUUAGAAGCAGCCAUCAUUUAAAGAGUGCGUAAUAGCUCACUAGUCGAGUGACACUGCGCCGAAAAUGUACCGGGGCUAAACAUAUUACCGAAGCUGUGGAUUGUCCUUUGGACAAUGGUAGGAGAGCGUUCUAAGGGCGUUGAAGCAUGAUCGUAAGGACAUGUGGAGCGCUUAGAAGUGAGAAUGCCGGUGUGAGUAGCGAAAGACGGGUGAGAAUCCCGUCCACCGAUUGACUAAGGUUUCCAGAGGAAGGCUCGUCCGCUCUGGGUUAGUCGGGUCCUAAGCUGAGGCCGACAGGCGUAGGCGAUGGAUAACAGGUUGAUAUUCCUGUACCACCUAUAAUCGUUUUAAUCGAUGGGGGGACGCAGUAGGAUAGGCGAAGCGUGCGAUUGGAUUGCACGUCUAAGCAGUAAGGCUGAGUAUUAGGCAAAUCCGGUACUCGUUAAGGCUGAGCUGUGAUGGGGAGAAGACAUUGUGUCUUCGAGUCGUUGAUUUCACACUGCCGAGAAAAGCCUCUAGAUAGAAAAUAGGUGCCCGUACCGCAAACCGACACAGGUAGUCAAGAUGAGAAUUCUAAGGUGAGCGAGCGAACUCUCGUUAAGGAACUCGGCAAAAUGACCCCGUAACUUCGGGAGAAGGGGUGCUCUUUAGGGUUAACGCCCAGAAGAGCCGCAGUGAAUAGGCCCAAGCGACUGUUUAUCAAAAACACAGGUCUCUGCUAAACCGUAAGGUGAUGUAUAGGGGCUGACGCCUGCCCGGUGCUGGAAGGUUAAGAGGAGUGGUUAGCUUCUGCGAAGCUACGAAUCGAAGCCCCAGUAAACGGCGGCCGUAACUAUAACGGUCCUAAGGUAGCGAAAUUCCUUGUCGGGUAAGUUCCGACCCGCACGAAAGGCGUAACGAUUUGGGCACUGUCUCAACGAGAGACUCGGUGAAAUCAUAGUACCUGUGAAGAUGCAGGUUACCCGCGACAGGACGGAAAGACCCCGUGGAGCUUUACUGUAGCCUGAUAUUGAAAUUCGGCACAGCUUGUACAGGAUAGGUAGGAGCCUUUGAAACGUGAGCGCUAGCUUACGUGGAGGCGCUGGUGGGAUACUACCCUAGCUGUGUUGGCUUUCUAACCCGCACCACUUAUCGUGGUGGGAGACAGUGUCAGGCGGGCAGUUUGACUGGGGCGGUCGCCUCCUAAAAGGUAACGGAGGCGCUCAAAGGUUCCCUCAGAAUGGUUGGAAAUCAUUCAUAGAGUGUAAAGGCAUAAGGGAGCUUGACUGCGAGACCUACAAGUCGAGCAGGGUCGAAAGACGGACUUAGUGAUCCGGUGGUUCCGCAUGGAAGGGCCAUCGCUCAACGGAUAAAAGCUACCCCGGGGAUAACAGGCUUAUCUCCCCCAAGAGUUCACAUCGACGGGGAGGUUUGGCACCUCGAUGUCGGCUCAUCGCAUCCUGGGGCUGUAGUCGGUCCCAAGGGUUGGGCUGUUCGCCCAUUAAAGCGGUACGCGAGCUGGGUUCAGAACGUCGUGAGACAGUUCGGUCCCUAUCCGUCGUGGGCGUAGGAAAUUUGAGAGGAGCUGUCCUUAGUACGAGAGGACCGGGAUGGACAUACCUCUGGUGUACCAGUUGUCGUGCCAACGGCAUAGCUGGGUAGCUAUGUGUGGACGGGAUAAGUGCUGAAAGCAUCUAAGCAUGAAGCCCCCCUCAAGAUGAGAUUUCCCAACUUCGGUUAUAAGAUCCCUCAAAGAUGAUGAGGUUAAUAGGUUCGAGGUGGAAGCAUGGUGACAUGUGGAGCUGACGAAUACUAAUCGAUCGAAGACUUAAUCAA
RNAcentral lists this ribosomal RNA (2921 nucleotides) under Staphylococcus aureus DAR3152. RNAcentral's name for it is "bacterial LSU rRNA". It matches the Rfam family "Bacterial large subunit ribosomal RNA". Lineage: Bacteria; Bacillati; Bacillota; Bacilli; Caryophanales; Staphylococcaceae. The record is from RNAcentral.